RNAcentral lists this long non-coding RNA (762 nucleotides) under Olea europaea subsp. europaea. Lineage: Eukaryota; Viridiplantae; Streptophyta; Magnoliopsida; Lamiales; Oleaceae. The record is from RNAcentral.
AACAGAAGCCCACAGAUGACAGAUAUUCGCUUGACGAACCUUUUUCGACAACCAAACGAUGAAGUUAUUCUCAAUGACGAUGCAAUCCGGUUUUACGUCGCUGAAGGUGAAAUUUUGAGGGAAUAUAAAAGGGAAGAAAUGGUCAGAAAAAUUAAAAACAAAAAUAGAUCGUGGCUUUAAUGAGAGAAUUUAUGCCUGAUAUAUUUUUACUGCUACUUAUCUGUUGUGUAGAGGAUUUGGACCUGUGUAAACUUUCCUCAUUUCUGCACCAAAAAUUUCAUUUCCAUCCUUCUUCAUUGCAUUUCCUUUGGAGCCCUUAUGGAAUUUAACGGAAUUCAUAGCAGAAAAAGGAGCAUUUUGAUCUCUUUCUGCAUGACAUAGAUUAAUCUCCCACCGUGCAAGAAUCAGUAGAAGAAAACAAAAGAAGCAACUCAAUUCUCUGCCCAUGUUUUUAUCCUUCUUGUGAAAAUCUCAAGUCAUAAGGCAUGGGAUUCCGAUCCAAAAAAAGCAGCAGCCUUUUUGCUCUACUUUUACUUAUUUCUUCAGCCUAAAAAAAAAGAUGAUUUCUAGAUGUGGGUUGAAAACUGGAAAGGUUUUUUUAUAAAGUAUGUAGAACUUUUUGUUUUGCUUUGUUUUAGGUAGAUGCCUUGGAGUUUGAAGAAGAGAGCAGCAAUGUCAAUUGUAGGGUGGGGUUUGAAGAUUCAAUGUGCAUAGGUUUUGCUGCAGUGUAAUAUAAAUUAGUGUUAUCAGCUUACAAUUUUG